UUAUUGUAACUGGUAUUUCUUUAUAGCAAAGUGAACCAGUCACCACCUUCUACAUUAGACUUGAAGUGGAUUUCUCUACUUUACCUGCUUAUCUCUCAAAAGAUAAUCCUGGUGCUAGUUUUGCAGCAUUGACUGCUGUCUUUCAUCCACCAAAUGCCAGUAAAGUUGAUAUCAGUCUCUAUCUAUCACCUUCUAUUGAGAGGAUAUUGGGUAGUGCUGCUAAUAUUAAGCUUCCCAGUUGGAACAGUGAGGACUCUUACCUCAUGGACUAUGUACCUAAUGUACACAAAAUACUCCAAGAAAAGGUCGAAGGUAUAGUACAGAACUUUGUAAGGCGUAAGGAGUACAUAGCAGCACUGUUGGGUUUAAUGGGGCAGUCAGUCCUGGAGUAUGACACAGAGAGUUACAUGAAGAUUGCUUUCCUUUUUGAGUCAAAUCAAGGGUUUUGCUUCAUUGCCCAUUUAAAUUUGAC
Amphimedon queenslandica is the source of this 472-nucleotide long non-coding RNA. RefSeq lists it as uncharacterized. The record is from RefSeq and is a predicted model, not a curated record. NCBI's taxonomy places the organism in Eukaryota, Metazoa, Porifera, Demospongiae, Haplosclerida, Niphatidae. The transcript is spliced from 5 exons.